Triticum aestivum (bread wheat) is the source of this 136-nucleotide non-coding RNA. NCBI's taxonomy places the organism in Eukaryota, Viridiplantae, Streptophyta, Magnoliopsida, Poales, Poaceae. The record is from Rfam.
GUUGUACUCCCUCCGUCCGGAAAUACUUGCCAUCAAAAUGAAUAAAAGGGGAUGUAUCUAGACGUAUAUUAGCUCUAGAUACACCCCUUUUUAUCCAUUUUGAUGACAGGUAUUUUCGGGCGGGAGGGAGUUGUUG